UCGCGAUUAGAGUUUGAUCCUGGCUCAGAAUCAACGCUGGCGGCGUGCCUAACACAUGCAAGUCGAACGCGAAAGGGGCUUCGGCCCUGAGUAGAGUGGCGAACGGGUGAGUAACACGUGGGUGACCUACCCUCGGGUGGGGGAUAACAUCCCGAAAGGGGUGCUAAUACCGCAUGACAUCCUGCCUUUGAACAGGCGGACAUCAAAGCCGGGGAUCGCAAGACCUGGCGCUCGAGGAGGGGCUCGCGUCCGAUUAGCUAGUUGGUGGGGUAAUGGCCUACCAAGGCGACGAUCGGUAGCCGGCCUGAGAGGGCGGACGGCCACACUGGGACUGAGACACGGCCCAGACUCCUACGGGAGGCAGCAGUGGGGAAUUGUUCGCAAUGGGCGCAAGCCUGACGACGCAACGCCGCGUGGAGGAUGAAGAUCU
Molecule: ribosomal RNA, 430 nt
Filed under: uncultured Acidobacteriota bacterium
Lineage: Bacteria; Pseudomonadati; Acidobacteriota
Description: bacterial SSU rRNA
Rfam family: Bacterial small subunit ribosomal RNA
Source: RNAcentral